RNAcentral lists this long non-coding RNA (1122 nucleotides) under Heterocephalus glaber (naked mole-rat). RNAcentral describes it as "lncRNA (ENSHGLG00000028552.2)". The record is from RNAcentral. Lineage: Eukaryota; Metazoa; Chordata; Mammalia; Rodentia; Bathyergidae.
UGUGAACCUAGGUAGACCUUUCUUCCUUUGUUUUUGUUUUUUUGAGACGAGGCCUUGUUACGUUGCCCAAGCUGGUCUUCAACUUCUGGGCCCAAGGGAUCGACCUGCCUCAGCUUCUCAAUGACAGAAAGCUGACUACCACACUGGCCCUCAGUUUUCUUGAAUCCGCCUACCUCAGGAGACAUUUAGGGUGAGAAAAAGUUUGCUCAGCACCUGGAAGGAAGCUCCCCCACCACCAUCCCAAGCUCCUAGGGCAGAGAAGGAGACCCGGUGCCAGCACCCAGAAGGAAGCUCCCUCGCCGCUAUCCCAAGCUCCUAGGGCAGAGAAGGUGCUGGAGCUACUGAAUAAAGCACUGUGUCUCCUUCCACAUGUAUCACAUUCCAGUCCAAAGGUAGUGUGGACUUGUAACAUCUUGUAAAUCUCCUCAAGAUUCUUGUCCUGAAUAAUAUGGACAGAGCAGUCACUUUGAAAGAAAGAGCUAUAAACACUAGGAGCUGUUAACUCUCAAGACCUCCAGAGACCAGGAGCUGAGGAAGAACAGCCACAGAGACCAGCACCAGCAGAGCUGACUGAAAACAUCCAGUGUUAACUGGUGUCUACUAGGGGCAUCAGGGCUGCUAGCAGAGCCACACUUUGCCAGUUCAUGACUUUUAUCUGAAUGGAGUAAAAGAACCCUUGGUUGAUUAAUGACAUUUUCUCUGUACAGCACAUCACAGCCUUGUACAUAGAUAGUUAGAUAACACUUCAACACUACGCUUGGAGUCCAUUCCAGUGAAAUCAUCCUCAAAAAGCAUCAAAAGGCAAACAAACAAAAAAAUCAAAAGUACGGUCCUAAGUAGACUGUGAAAAAGAGAAGUUUACAACAGGAGAGCUGAAACCAGGAGGGAGUCAUCCUGCCUGACCUCAGCUGGGGCCAAGUGCACCUGAUGACUCAAAUGUCCCCCUCCUCUUGUAUGUCUGUAAAUGACCACAAAGCUCAGCAAGUAUCGAUUUGGGUUUAUAAAUUUUAGCGAGUAGGAGGAAUGACUGUAUAGGCAACACGAUGAUUUUUCCUGAAAGCACAUAUAACAAGUUUUUCCCUUGGGCUCUGUUCCUAGGGUAACCUCUAUCCUGUUUCUAAC